GAAUGGCUUAACCAUCUGGGAAUGCAGCCCAGUAGGUCUCAGCCUCAUUUUACCCAGCUCCUAUUUAAGAUGGAUUUGCUCUGGUUCACAUACCUCUGACAACAGGGGCAUCUGUGACCUCUGCUUUUCCUAAAGGGGGCUUUGUGAACUUCAGUAUUUAAAGGGGAAAGAGCAAGCAGGAGGGGGGAAAAGGGAAGAGGUGAGGCAGUGAAACCAAUGCUUACAUCUUGUGCAGCUCUGUCUAGCUUUAGUAAAUCUACAUUUCACAUGUGAAAAGAUGGAGUAGAGGAGAAUGUCAGCUAUGCAUUACCUCGAGCACAGUAAAUCUGCAUUCUACGGAUGAUAAAGCAAGCUUGUGAAAAGAGGGAGCAGAGAGAAUGAGGCUGUGAAGCCAGGUUGUGAAAUUACAGCUGUUUAGGAAAACAUUAUCAGUGACUCAGUUCCCAAGCUUAACUUUCCCUUCAGCAUAGUGAGUUUGGGUCCUGGGAUUCUACUUUUCUUUCACACAACACUACAGUCACGAGGGAGCUGUUGCCUUUUAGUUCUAGGCCUUUAGAGAGCACCAAGUGUGCAUUCUCUCACAUCUGAUCAUCGGAUCUGGGGAUUCUUGCAUUUUCCGGGUGGCUUCUCCCUCAAUUUUAUGCUUGGGCUUCGCCUCUAGUAGGCCUAUUUAUUAACCUAGUUGCCUCUCAGUGCAUUUAUGUGUGGUUAAAAUAUCCAAACAGCUCUCAGAUGCAGCCAGAAGCUUUCUGUCACUUCAAUAAUGCCAGGAUGCUGGGGAGCAGCCGGAGUAGUCUGGGAGACAGGAGGGCAAGGGUAACUCCUCCUGAGCUACAGAAGGCAAUGAUGCAGAACCAGCUGCAGGCAGGCUGCACGGGCUUUGCUGUCCUCCCCAAGCCAGGGGCCAGCCUUCUGGCCCCAUGAGUUUCCCGUGGGGAGGCUGCUCAGCCAUGUGAGGGCAGGGAACAAAAGCAGCAGCAUCUCCACGACAAGGGUAGGGUGCAGACAGACACCAUCAGGCUAGAGCUAGCUAGCUUUCAGGUGAAGGCGACUGGCUAAGAUUUAGAAAUGGAUGCACAAAGCUAAGAUUUACAAAUGGAUGUGCCAACACUCAUUGCCCUGAAGGCUGGCCCCGAUCUGGUGGUAGGGUUGCCUGGAGCUCCAGGCUGGGCAGGACCAUGAGAGUGCAUCCCAGGCCCAGGAUAAAAAGGCCACGAAGGUGCUUGAUGCAAUCCACAGGCACAGGAAGGCCAUGGCCGCUUGAGCGCAGUGCACUAGCCUUUUCAGCCUUGUAUUCUCAGGACUCCAGUGGAGCGUUGGUUUGAUGUCAGCAGGUGGUUCUGCUGAGUCCUAAACUUGCACCUGAAGCUCAGCACUGCCCUGCUGGAAAUCAGGACCAGACCAACAUGACCUAGAUGUUGCGGAACGAGCUCAGGCUCAGUAUUUCCAAACAGGAGAGAGACUAUCCAUCUUCACUUCUGGCAGGGGGCUGGUCCCUCCCAGUGAUUGGGGAUUUUCUGCUGCUGGAGAGAGGUCCACUCACCUCCCUCUGGAACUCCGAAGCUUCUGGAAGACUAUUUUGGUUUUUAUGUCUGUCACCCCUUCACAUAGAGCUGUGAUGACAGUGCUUAUCAAUCCUGUCCCCGCCACACCACCAACAUACACAGAAAAAAAGCAGGCAAUGAGUUGGCUCCGGGAUGACCUCGUAUGAAGACGUUUCAUUCCUUAGUCUUGGCAAUUGACAUCACAAACUUGGGUACAAGCUACAAAAUUAAGGUUGUCUAGGAACCACAUUUAAAACGUAAAAGAGAGGCAAGGUGCGGUGGCUCAUGCCUGUAAUCCCAGCACUUUGGGAGGCUGAAUUGAGAGGAUCCCUUGAGCCUAUGAAGCUGCAGUGAGCUGUGAUCGCACCACUGCGCUCCAGCCUGGACGACAGAGCGAGACUCUGUCUCAAGAAAAAAAGAAGAAGAAGAAGAAGAAGAAACAGGUAAAAUUAACUUUAGUCUAUUUUACUUAGCCAAUAUAUCUUAAAUAUUGCAUUUCAAUAUGUAUUCAAUAUAAAAAUUAUUUAUGACAUAUUUUGCGUUCUCUAUUUUGUAUUAAAAUUUUAAAAUCCGGUGUGGUUUUAAAGACACAGCUCAUCUGAAUUCAGACUAGCCACACUUCAAAUGCUCAGUAGCCACAUGUGGCUAAUGGCUAUCAUAAUGGACACUGCAACUCUAGAGAUUGAAGGUCUGUGUCUAUAUUUGUACAAGAUGGCACCUAAACACAAGCCAAUUUGUCAUCUGGUGCCUUUCUCCUUCUCCCUGGCUACACACCCCUCACUCCCAAUAAGAUCGUAUGACACCUGAGACUACAGCCCCAGAGAGAAACACUUGGGUUAAUAUUACUGAAUCAUAAAAACAGGAUAGCAGGAACUAUCAUCUUGGAGCAUGAGUCUUGGUAUUUCCAGUCUCAGUGAUUCUAGGCCACACAUAUAAAAGUCUCUUAUUGCCAUCUGGGAAGGCACACACACCAUAUGUUUUGGGCUUAGAUGAAUAAGGCUCAUAAUCCAAUCAUACAUUUUAAAGGACAUUUAUUUGUAAACAUGUUUAAUAUUCACAAAAUAUAUUUCAUCACUUCUAACUCUAUAGAACACUAUAAUAAGCAAACGGCACACACUAAAUGUUCAUUAUACAGCAAGCUAAAAAAAAUUACAACCCUGACCUGAUAGAGAUUAAAUCUAAUCUGAAACAGCCUCUAUCACUGGACAGAGUCACAAAAGGCCAUAUGAGCACAAGCACAGCUGUGCAAACACUGAAAAUGCAUAACUGGAGAGGAACUUGCAUCCCACGCAAGUUGAAAUAGCAGCCACAGAGAAGGGGAAGUGACUUGGAAAUGAAAGCAUUAUCCAUCUGGACCAAAUGGUGAAGCUGUGGGAAGCUGUCAUUUACAUUGGUGAGGAAGGCGUUCACUUCAGAGGGAGAAGAGUCUCCUUAGCUUAAAUUUUUGCUCAAAUAACCCAGCCCUACACAAUAUGGGGUUUUGGCAAUAGCUGUCGUAAAAAUGAAGCUUAAUACAUGAUUUGAGUGGAGGACUUCAAAGUUCUCAACUGUUGUAACCAUUAAGCUCAUCAAUUGACACAAAACUGGAUAUUCAGAAAAAUCCUGGUAAGAAUAGGGAUUUUGGGUUAAAGUAGUAUCAUAAUUAGAGUCCUUUAAGUUCUUAUUGUUUAAAAUCCUUCUAUAAUACAUUCGUCAACUUAUUUUCCUUAAUAUAAAAGGAACUGUCUCUAACUUACAGAUAGGUUAAAAUGUCCCAAAAGUGGAGAUUUUCUUCUUAAUUUGGUGGUUUGUAACUCAGGAUUUAUGUUCUCUAAACGUGUCUUGUUAACACAUAUCUAAUACUAUAGGGCACAAUACUGUAAUGUCAAUGAUAUAUAGUUGCCACAGUAAUAUCAAUUUUAAAGGAAAAGUACAUCCAAUAUGCCCCUUCUCCACACAUUUCCCCAGGCAGUGACAUCUAAAGAUGAACAAGAAAAAUAUACAAGUUUUACUUCUUGAUUUUUGACACCUAUAUAACAACAGGCAUCUUAUUGAUCCAAACACCCUCAGAGAGUGCUCAUGGGAAGUAGGGCUCUGGAAACUGCCUUCUUGAUUCUUGUUUAUAUGUAUGAGUUUAUGGUAACACUCAGAGCAAACAUUCUUUUUUUCUAGGAAAUGGGUUCGUCAUUUUUAGUUCAUCAUUUUUAGCUUUGUCACAUAUAGCAAUGCAGACAUAAAUAGGAGAUUGAACUGAAUAUCAUUUGAUUUUAGAACAGCUCUAGAAACUAAUUCUUUUUAGUUUCUAGUAAAAAAACUAUUUUCUUAUAAUUCUUUAUGACUUGAGCAGCAAAAAACAAAAACAAAAACAAAAACAAAACAAAACCAAAAAUAAGGGGGGGGGGCAGAUUUAUACUAGCUAUAUAAAGUGGCUUCCACUCUAUAAAGUUUUUGUUAAUUGAGAUAUUGCUGAUAAUUCCUAAGAAAAGAACUUAUCUACGCUAAAGGAAAAGGUAUUGUUUUGCUAACCUGUGGCAAUGAUACUGAGAUGAAAGAUUCUUUCCACUCACAUGCCUUGACUAAAUGCCCCAUUCUAGUUCACUAAGCAGACUGAAUGCCAGCCAGGAAUUCUGCCCGUAUCUUAUUAGGAUUCCGAAAGUACUUCUGAAGAAGUGGAAAUAGGAAGGUCCACAUGCCUUGGAAAGUUUUUAACUUUUCUGGAAUACAAAAUAUUUCUUACUCUAACCAAUUAAGUUAUUAAAUUCCACCAUAAUGUUAGCACUACCCUUUAGCAAUUUACUUCAGAGCAAGGAUUGUUUUCUUUCAGCUUAAAUUUUACCUACAUUACAUGGGUUCACUUUUAUAUUAUGCAUCUCCUUAGGAGUUCAACUCAACUGAACAAUUAUGUCCUGAGUGUCUAUUACGAGUACGACAUCCUACAAGGCAUUAAAAAAGUUUGAGGAAAAUCUGAAUAGAAGAAAAGGAAAUGGAGGUCUCCAGCAAAAUCUGCCAAGUGUUUUUAUAAAGUCCCAUCUGAACUUCUUUGGAGUAGACCAAGGUGCAGAAAUCCAUAUCCUCUCCCCACAUUGCAUCCCCUAAAGAGCUUCAAGCAUAGCUGGAAAGCCUUGAAACACAUCUAUUGGAGAGACUUGUCACACUGGACAAAGGCAAGAGCAACUUCUCAGAUGCUGCAAAUGAGGAACCUAUUUGCAAGCCACAGAGGUGGCUAAAACAUGGACACUAGCUUCUGUAGACACAGCUUCUAACACACCUUCAGUGCCUCACCCUCCUCACUAGGUAAAGUGGUGAGCGUUCAUUGAUGAGCUUCAUUUGAUACCCAAGAAAAUCAAGACCUUGAGUCACAUGCUCAAGGUUACACAGCAAAGCAGAGGCAGCUUGAAAACUGGAUUCAGGCCUUCUGAGCCCCUCUAGUAGACCGCACUGCUCCACAGAUGCAGGUAGCUUCUGAGAUCAAAACAUUCUGUUGGGUAAUGAUAACCAAAGUACAGCUCAUGUUUGUUUAUGUAAGGGCCCUGCUCAUUUCUGUGGGGAGAACUCAGCCAGGCCACAGAGCAGUCACAGGGCUUUCCAGACUGCAGAGCUGCCCCAGUGUGCAUGGCAGCUGGUUCCGCAGGAGUUCACCUGCCCACAGAGAUGUUCGGGGUCCUCCGCCUUCCCAUUGGUCUUGGUGUCUGCAUGACGGGCCACUGUGAUCAGACGUGGGGGCAGUAAGCAUGCUGAGCAACGUCUGGGUGUCCUGGGGCAGGGGCGGGGGGCAUUCUGUGGAGGUGACUGCAUCUGGAAAGGGCCCAAGUAGGGAGGGAAAUGGGAAAGGAUGUGCACAGGCAGUCACAGCUGGACUCCGCCUGGGCUUGCCAGGCUCCCUCCUCUGCCUUCUACUGCUACUCCCUACUUGCUUAACCUCUCCAACUUCCUACUAUGCAAUGUUUAAAAACCUGCUCAACAAAACAUCCUUCUUCCUGGAGAAUUUUCCUAACAAAGGGCCCCAUUCAGGCGGGGCUGCUUGGGAGGAAGGGAACUGUUGUCCAAAACCUGGCUCUUGCCACUUUCCACCCUGGCCACAAACAAGACUUUUUUUCACAGCUCUUAAUCUCAGUUUCCUCCCUGGGCAAGCUCCUCACGCAGACACCAAGACCCACUGAGGCAGAAGGGCCUGAACAUUCUAUUAGGGCAGGUGAGCUCCUGCAGAACCAGCUGCCAGGCACACUCCAAUAGAUCUGCUGCCCAGAAAGUCCCAUGGCCACUGUGGCCUGGCUGUGCUCUCCCUGCAGAAAUGAGCAUGGCAUUUACAUGAAAGAUGAAGUAGGAUACUUGAUUUCACUACUCUGAAAUUUUCUUUCCAGUCUGAUCUGCUCUCUUGAACUUCAGAGUCAUGCAUCUCACAGCCUACUUGGCACCUCCACAUGGAUAAAGAUGCAUCUCAACUCACCAUGUCCAAAGCACGUGCCCCCAACUACAAGCAAAUCCCUCAACACACUCCCUGCCCCUCCCACAGAUCUUCCUCACCUGUCAGUGCCUCUGUCCACAAUGCUCCCCUAGACUGCCGCAAGGACUGCACCUCAGCUGCUGGAGUCCUUCCGCAAUGUCACCACCUCAGUGAGGCUUCCCACCAAUCUAUUUACAAUUGCAGUUUCUCCCCAGCACUUCCUACCCACUGCCCUGCUUUCUCUUCCUUCACAGCACUGACGAUCAUCUGACAUUUUGUAUACUUUACUUGUUUGGUUCACUGUCAUUCUCUCCCAAGGUAGGAGUUGGAGAUCCCAC
This 6305-nucleotide long non-coding RNA is filed under the name Homo sapiens (human). Its description in RNAcentral is "HSALNT0372182". Lineage: Eukaryota; Metazoa; Chordata; Mammalia; Primates; Hominidae. The record is from RNAcentral.